AUACGUAGGGUGCAAGCGUUAAUCGGAAUUACUGGGCGUAAAGCGUGCGCAGGCGGUUUUGUAAGACAGUGGUGAAAUCCCCGGGCUCAACCUGGGAACUGCCUUUGUGACUGCAAGGCUAGAGUACGGCAGAGGGGGAUGGAAUUCCGCGUGUAGCAGUGAAAUGCGUAGAUAUGCGGAGGAACACCGAUGGCGAAGGCAAUCCCCUGGGCCUGUACUGACGCUCAUGCACGAAAGCGUGGGGAGCAAACAGGAUUAGAUACCCUGGUAGUCCACGCCCUAAACGAUGUCAACUGGUUGUUGGGUCUUCAUUGACUCAGUAACGAAGCUAACGCGUGAAGUUGACCGCCUGGGGAGUACGGCCGCAAGGUUAAAACUCAAAUGAAUUGACGGGG
This 395-nucleotide ribosomal RNA is filed under the name uncultured bacterium. RNAcentral describes it as "partial 16S ribosomal RNA". It matches the Rfam family "Bacterial small subunit ribosomal RNA", at positions 523 to 918 of the family's 1533-position model. The record is from RNAcentral.